AGCUCCAAUAGCGUAUAUUAAAGUUGCUGCAGUUAAAAAGCUCGUAGUUGGAUCUCGGGGUACCUGGUCUAGCCGGUAUAGCUCACGCUAAAACUGGUCUGACCCCCCAACGUGAGGUAUUCGUCUCCGGGUGCACUUCAUUGGGUGCUCGUGAGGGGCCUCGUAGUUGACUGUGAAAAAAUUAGAGUGUUCAAAGCAGGCUCAUAUGUUCGGAUAGUGUGCAUGGAAUAAGUGAAUACAAGACUGGCGCUUUUUUGUUGGUCUCGGCGACUGAUCAAAUGAUUAAGAGGGACAGCCGGGGGCAUUGGUAUUGAGGGGUUAGAGGUGAAAUUCUUGGAUCCUCUCCAGACCAACAAAUGCGAAAGCAUUUGCCAAGAAUGUCUUCA
This 386-nucleotide ribosomal RNA is filed under the name marine Metazoa environmental sample. RNAcentral's name for it is "partial small subunit ribosomal RNA". It matches the Rfam family "Eukaryotic small subunit ribosomal RNA", at positions 587 to 972 of the family's 1831-position model. Lineage: Eukaryota; Metazoa. The record is from RNAcentral.